CAGCAGGCGCGAAAACUUUGCAAUACACGAAAGUGUGACAGGGCUAUCCCGAGUGCCAUCCGCUGAGGAAGGCUUUUACCCAGUCUAGAAAGCUGGGGGAAUAAGGAGAGGGCAAGUCUGGUGUCAGCCGCCGCGGUAAUACCAGCUCUCCGAGUGGUGUGGAUGUUUAUUGGGCCUAAAGCAUCCGUAGCUGGCUAAGUUAGUCCCUUGUUAAAUCCACCGAAUUAAUCGUUGGAUCGCGGGGGAUACUGCUUGGCUAGGGGACGAGAGAGGCAGACGGUAUUUUCGGGGUAGGGGUGAAAUCCUAUAAUCCCGGGAAGACCACCAGUGGCGAAGGCUGUCUGCUAGAACGCGCCCGACGGUGAGGGAUGAAAGCUGGGGGAGCGAACCGGAUUAGAUACCCGGGUAGUCCCAGCUGUAAACGAUGCAGGCUAGGUGUUUGGACGGCCACGUGCCGUUCUAGUGCCGCAGGGAAGCUGUUAAGCCUGCCGCCUGGGGAGUACGAUCGCAAGAUUGAAACUUAAAGGAAUUGGCGGGGGAGCACAAGGGCGAUUCGCG
RNAcentral lists this ribosomal RNA (558 nucleotides) under uncultured archaeon. RNAcentral describes it as "bacterial SSU rRNA". It matches the Rfam family "Archaeal small subunit ribosomal RNA", at positions 333 to 897 of the family's 1478-position model. The record is from RNAcentral.